This 400-nucleotide unclassified non-coding RNA is filed under the name uncultured fungus. Its description in RNAcentral is "sequence contains ITS1". The stretch from base 1 to 103 matches the Rfam family "5.8S ribosomal RNA", at positions 52 to 154 of the family's 154-position model. Lineage: Eukaryota; Fungi. The record is from RNAcentral.
AUAUCAAUAAGCGGUGUGAAAUGCAGGACACGCCGAGCACUUGAUUUUCGAACGCAUAUUGCAGCCUCGGGUCAUUCCCGGGGCUUCGUUUGUCUGAGGGUCUGUAAAGAUAUAAACUUAUCGUAAAAGUCUGUCAUCGAGUAUACCGAAAAUACACAGUUGUGUACUCGUCAGACUCAUGCAACACCAGACCAAAGCAUAGACGCGCUAUAAAGUUGUGCGCUGUGUUGUCGUUCACUGUCAUCGAGACACUAAACGGCAGAACACUACACGUUUUGCCGGUCUCUGACACACAAAGUGUUCGGCACAAAACACACGCACUACGAGUGUCUUAUGUGAGCGUCAACGGUGAACAAGCGAUGAAUUCAUUCACACACACAUGUGGACCUCAGAUCAAGCG